RNAcentral lists this ribosomal RNA (639 nucleotides) under Eidophelus imitans. Its description in RNAcentral is "eukaryotic LSU rRNA". It matches the Rfam family "Eukaryotic large subunit ribosomal RNA", at positions 406 to 802 of the family's 3401-position model. The record is from RNAcentral. Lineage: Eukaryota; Metazoa; Arthropoda; Insecta; Coleoptera; Curculionidae.
CGUUUAGGGGUAAACCUGAGAAACCCGAAAGGUCGAAGGGAGAAAUUCAUUCGCGUCUCGCAGCAAGCUCGUUCGGGGUACGUGACGGAAGACGUUCGCGCGUUUUCCGCAUUUCCCGUUCGAUGAUCUGGCAGCGAACGCGUGCACUUUUCUCCUGGUAGGACGUCGCGAUCCGUUGGGUGUCGGUCUACGGUCCCGAGUGGAGCCCGCACGGUCAACUCCGAGUUAACCGUUCGGACCUCGGGCGCCCGACCGACUCGCUCGACGGUAUAACUGAAAGGUUCGAGGCCGCUCUCGUAGCGUCCGUUCCGCGGCAAGUACGUCAGUCGCGUCAGCGAUCGGACCCGGUGCCGAUCCGCGGACAGCUGGCGAUUACUGGCCGCGUUCUCUCGGACAGACCUCGUGACCGAUCGGCGACGCUAUAGCUUUGGGUACUUUCAGGACCCGUCUUGAAACACGGACCAAGGAGUCUAGCAUGUGCGCGAGUCAUUGGGAUUAAAUAAACAGAAAGGCGCAAAGAAAGUAAAGGUCUUCCUUGCGAAGCCCGAGGGAAGACGGGCGUGUMUCGGCCUUAAAACCGACCGUUCUGCAUUCCCGGGGCGUCUCGUUCUCAUCGCGAGAAGAGGCGCACCAAGAGCG